GAUAUUAUAGGAUGAUUUAGGGUAUAUGGUUUAAACCCUAUCUAAUUUAAUUGAGUUAAUGAUUGAUUAUUGUUGUUUUUAUUGUUGGAGUUCAUUUUAAGUAAGAAACGGUUGAAACUAUAAAUUCGCAAACCCUAUACCCUGAUCAACGCUUGAAAUGUGUUUUCUUCUUUGUCAAUUUUUUUCUGUGUGUGUGUGUGUGUGAGAGAGAGAGAGAGAGAGAGAGAGAGAGAGAGAGAGAGAGAGAGAGAGAGAGAGAGAGAGAGAGAGAGAGAGAGAGAGAGAGAGAGAGAGAGAGAUCUGAAAUCUCUCCACCGCAUAUGCCAAAAGGUGAUUUUCGUCGCAGCCGCCAAAAUGCUCCUUCCCUUUGCUUUCCAGGAAGUUUCUACACCGGAAUAUGUACCUUCACCAGCGCAUACCACGGUGGAAGGGAUGACUCAAAGACACUCAGAGUGGGCCUUCCAGAGGCUUCUCAAGGAGAUGUGCGGUUCCAAUCAAACCAACAACACAAUCGAUUGGCCAGCUCCGGGCUCCCUCCGGUUCAGUCUAAUCAGUCUCUUUCAACCGUCGACAAAACCGCCAAUGUUGUUGAGAUUGAGAAGUAGUGCGGCUGUAUAAGAGCUUUGGAUUUGGUUCUUUGAUUUCAAUCUGUCUGCUUAGAUGACUGUGUAUAAGCUCUGAUGGAUCUCUGUUUGUUACAGACAUGUAACCUUGUGAGUUCACGACAAUGGUGGUCACAGAUGCUGAAGGUCCUUCUGUUGGGGAGAUUACUUGUGGAACUUUACUGCAAAAUUUGCAGAUAAAUCUCUCAACCAUAACUUUCUUUUUACAGCAUUGCAAGGCUUUUAUUAAUUCUUGUGUGGUGUGAAUUCUUUUUUGCAACAGAAAUCUUGGAUGAAGCGAUGAGUAAGAGUGUCUUGUUUACAAGAGAAAAUUUGAACAGGCUGUGACAUCUCAAGCCAUGGAGAUGAUGUAAGAGAACAUAGGCUUAAGGAGAUGGCAGAGAAAGCUAGUGGUGGUGGUGGUGAAGGUGAAGCCGAACAAGAAGAGAAGAAAGAGACGUACAGCUGUAGAUUUUGGUUUAUUAAGUAAAAGUUAGGUAUGAUUGUGAAGGUUUAUUAGUGGUAGAUUGAUAGGUUGUAUGCACUUGUGUGAUGGUUUGUAUGAAUGUGAUAAUGUUGUGUUAUAGGAUUUAAAUAAUUAUAUUGUUUUUUGGAUUUUUAAUAAUUUAAAUUGUUUUUAUUUUA
Molecule: long non-coding RNA, 1247 nt
Organism: Raphanus sativus (radish)
Lineage: Eukaryota; Viridiplantae; Streptophyta; Magnoliopsida; Brassicales; Brassicaceae
Exons: 3
Source: RefSeq, a predicted model, not a curated record